This is a non-coding RNA of Dipodomys ordii (Ord's kangaroo rat), 65 nucleotides long. The record is from Rfam. Lineage: Eukaryota; Metazoa; Chordata; Mammalia; Rodentia; Heteromyidae.
GGUGGCACAGUGGUAGAGCAUUUGCCUUGCAUGCAUGAGGAUCUGGGUUCGAUUCCUCAGCACCA